ACGAACGCUGGCGGCGUGCUUCACACAUGCAGGUCGAACGGAAAGGCCCCUUUGGGGGUACUCGAGUGGCGAACGGGUGAGUAACACGUGAGUAACCUGCCCUUGACUUCGGGAUAACUUCAGGAAACUGGGGCUAAUACCGGAUAGGAAUCCUUGCUGCAUGGUGGGGGUUGGAAAGCUUCGGCGGUUUUGGAUGGACUCGCGGCUUAUCAGCUUGUUGGUGGGGUAGUGGCUUACCAAGGCUUUGACGGGUAGCCGGCCUGAGAGGGCGACCGGCCACAUUGGGACUGAGAUACGGCCCAGACUCCUACGGGAGGCAGCAGUGGGGAAUAUUGCACAAUGGGCGGAAGCCUGAUGCAGCAACGCCGCGUGCGGGAUGACGGCCUUCGGGUUGUAAACCGCUUUCAGCAGGGGCGAAGCUUGUGGUGACGGUACCUGCAGAAGAAGCACCGGCUAACUACGUG
RNAcentral lists this ribosomal RNA (464 nucleotides) under uncultured bacterium. Its description in RNAcentral is "partial 16S ribosomal RNA". It matches the Rfam family "Bacterial small subunit ribosomal RNA", at positions 29 to 507 of the family's 1533-position model. The record is from RNAcentral.